GUGCCAGCAGCCGCGGUAAUACGGAGGGGGCUAGCGUUGUUCGGAAUUACUGGGCGUAAAGCGCACGUAGGCGGACCAGAAAGUUGGAGGUGAAAUCCCAGGGCUCAACCUUGGAACUGCCUUCAAAACUCCUGGUCUUGAGUUUGAGAGAGGUGAGUGGAAUUCCGAGUGUAGAGGUGAAAUUCGUAGAUAUUCGGAGGAACACCAGUGGCGAAGGCGGCUCACUGGCUCGAUACUGACGCUGAGGUGCGAAAGCGUGGGGAGCAAACAGGAUUAGAUAC
Molecule: ribosomal RNA, 281 nt
Filed under: uncultured Rhodobacterales bacterium
Lineage: Bacteria; Pseudomonadati; Pseudomonadota; Alphaproteobacteria; Rhodobacterales
Description: partial 16S ribosomal RNA
Rfam family: Bacterial small subunit ribosomal RNA
Source: RNAcentral